This 21-nucleotide microRNA is filed under the name Physcomitrium patens. RNAcentral's name for it is "ppt-miR1060". Lineage: Eukaryota; Viridiplantae; Streptophyta; Bryopsida; Funariales; Funariaceae. The record is from miRBase by way of RNAcentral.
UUUGUCAUAGGAUUACACACG